GUGGGGAAUAUUGCACAAUGGGCGCAAGCCUGAUGCAGCGACGCCGCGUGGGGGAUGAAGGCCUUCGGGUUGUAAACUCCUUUCGCUAUCGACGAAGCCACUUGUGGUGACGGUAGGUAGAUAAGAAGCACCGGCUAACUACGUGCCAGCAGCCGCGGUAAUACGUAGGGUGCAAGCGUUGUCCGGAAUUACUGGGCGUAAAGAGCUCGUAGGUGGUUUGUCGCGUCGUCUGUGAAAUCCCGGGGCUUAACUUCGGGCGUGCAGGCGAUACGGGCAUAACUUGAGUGCUGUAGGGGAGACUGGAAUUCCUGGUGUAGCGGUGAAAUGCGCAGAUAUCAGGAGGAACACCGAUGGCGAAGGCAGGUCUCUGGGCAGUUACUGACGCUGAGGAGCGAAAGCAUGGGUAGCGAACAGG
This 415-nucleotide ribosomal RNA is filed under the name uncultured bacterium. RNAcentral's name for it is "bacterial SSU rRNA". It matches the Rfam family "Bacterial small subunit ribosomal RNA", at positions 354 to 776 of the family's 1533-position model. The record is from RNAcentral.